Molecule: ribosomal RNA, 406 nt
Filed under: uncultured bacterium
Lineage: Bacteria
Description: partial 16S ribosomal RNA
Rfam family: Bacterial small subunit ribosomal RNA
Source: RNAcentral
AUUGAACGCUGGCGGCAGGCCUAACACAUGCAAGUCGAGCGAGCGGCGGACGGGUGAGUAAUGUAUGGGGAUCUGCCCGAUGGAGGGGGAUAACUCCUGUAAACGGUGGUUAAAACAGCAUACUCUCGGAUGAACCCAUAUGGGAUUAGCUAGUAGGUGGGGUAAAGGCUCUCCUCGGCGACGAUCUCUAGCUGGUCUGAGAGGAUGAUAAGCCACACUGGGACUGAGACACGGCCCAGACUCCUACGGGAGGCAGCAGUGGGGAAUAUUGCACAAUGGGCGAAAGCCUGAUGCAGCCAUGCCGCGUGUAUGAAGAAGGCCUUAGGGUUGUAAAGUACUUUCAGCGAGGAGGCGUUACCCGCAGAAGAAGCACCGGCUAACUCCGUGCCAGCAGCCGCGGUAAUUC